RNAcentral lists this transfer RNA (69 nucleotides) under Harpiocephalus harpia (hairy-winged bat). Its description in RNAcentral is "tRNA-Ser". It matches the Rfam family "tRNA". Rfam says of the family: Transfer RNA (tRNA) molecules are approximately 80 nucleotides in length. Their secondary structure includes four short double-helical elements and three loops (D, anti-codon, and T loops). The record is from RNAcentral. Lineage: Eukaryota; Metazoa; Chordata; Mammalia; Chiroptera; Vespertilionidae.
GAGAAAGACAUAGUGGUUAUGGUGUUGGCUUGAAACCAAUUUUAGGGGGCUCGAAACCUUCCUUUCUUA